GACGAACGUUGGCGGCGUGCUCAACAUAUGCAAGUCGAACGGAAAGGCCCUGCUUUUGUGGGGUGCUCGAGUGGCGAACGGGUGAGUAACACGUGAGUAACCUGCCCUUGACUUUGGGAUAACUUCAGGAAACUGUGGCUAAUACCGGAUAGGAGCUCCUGCUGCAUGGUGGGGGUUGGAAAGUUUCGGCGGUUGGGGAUGGACUCGCGGCUUAUCAGCUUGUUGGUGGGGUAGUGGCUUACCAAGGCGUUGACGGGUAGCCGGCCUGAGAGGGUGACCGGCCACAUUGGGACUGAGAGACGGCCCAGACUCCUACGGGAGGCAGCAGUGGGGAAUAUUGCACAAUGGGCGGAAGCCUGAUGCAGCAACGCCGCGUGCGGGAUGACGGCCUUCGGGUUGUAAACCGCUUUCGCCUGUGACGAAGCGUGAGUGACGGUAAUGGGUAAAGAAGCACCGGCUAACUACGU
Molecule: ribosomal RNA, 467 nt
Filed under: uncultured bacterium
Lineage: Bacteria
Description: partial 16S ribosomal RNA
Rfam family: Bacterial small subunit ribosomal RNA
Source: RNAcentral